GAGGGUAUAGCUCAGUGGUAGAGUGCAUGCUUUGCAUGCAGGAGGUCCUGGGUUCCAUCCUCAGUACCUCA
Molecule: transfer RNA, 71 nt
Filed under: Camelus bactrianus (Bactrian camel)
Lineage: Eukaryota; Metazoa; Chordata; Mammalia; Artiodactyla; Camelidae
Also listed under: 3 other names
Rfam family: tRNA
About the family: Transfer RNA (tRNA) molecules are approximately 80 nucleotides in length. Their secondary structure includes four short double-helical elements and three loops (D, anti-codon, and T loops).
Source: Rfam by way of RNAcentral